Molecule: ribosomal RNA, 253 nt
Filed under: uncultured bacterium
Lineage: Bacteria
Description: partial 16S ribosomal RNA
Rfam family: Bacterial small subunit ribosomal RNA
Source: RNAcentral
UACGUAGGGACCGAGCGUUGUCCGGAAUCAUUGGGCGUAAAGAGCGUGUAGGCGGCCACUUAAGUCCUGCGUGAAAUCUUGCGGCUCAACCGCAAGCGGUCGUGGGAAACUGGGUGGCUAGAGUGCGGGAGAGGAGAGUGGAAUUCCUGGUGUAGCGGUGGAAUGCGCAGAUAUCAGGAAGAACACCCGUGGCGAAGGCGGCUCUCUGGGACGCAACUGACGCUGAGGAGCGAAAGCGUGGGGAGCGAACAGG